RNAcentral lists this small RNA (1666 nucleotides) under Pongo abelii (Sumatran orangutan). RNAcentral describes it as "retained intron". The record is from RNAcentral. Lineage: Eukaryota; Metazoa; Chordata; Mammalia; Primates; Hominidae.
GAACAUGACGGCGCCCUGGGCGGCCCUCGCCCUCCUCUGGGGAUCGCUGUGCGCCGGCUCUGGGCGUGGGGAGGCUGAGACACGGGAGUGCAUCUACUACAACGCCAACUGGGAGCUGGAGCGCACCAACCAGAGCGGCCUGGAGCGCUGCGAAGGCGAGCAGGACAAGCGGCUGCACUGCUACGCCUCCUGGCGCAACAGCUCUGGCACCAUCGAGCUCGUGAAGAAGGGCUGCUGGCUAGAUGACUUCAACUGCUACGAUAGGCAGGAGUGCGUGGCCACUGAGGAGAACCCCCAGGUGUACUUCUGCUGCUGUGAAGGCAACUUCUGCAACGAGCGCUUCACUCAUUUGCCAGAAGCUGGGGGCCCAGAAGUCACGUACGAGCCACCCCCGACAGCCCCCACCCUGCUCACGGUGCUGGCCUACUCACUGCUGCCCAUCGGGGGCCUUUCCCUCAUCGUCCUGCUGGCCUUUUGGAUGUACCGGCAUCGCAAGCCCCCCUACGGUCAUGUGGACAUCCAUGAGGUGAGACAGUACUGGCUUGGGGCAGGGCAGGGUAGAGGUGGGGAGGACAGGCCAGACCUUAUUAAGCCUUGCUCUCCCCCAGGACCCUGGGCCUCCACCCCCAUCCCCUCUGGUGGGCCUGAAGCCACUGCAGCUGCUGGAGAUCAAGGCUCGGGGGCGCUUUGGCUGUGUCUGGAAGGCCCAGCUCAUGAAUGACUUUGUAGCUGUCAAGAUCUUCCCACUCCAGGACAAGCAGUCGUGGCAGAGUGAACGGGAGAUCUUCAGCACACCUGGCAUGAAGCACGAGAACCUGCUACAGUUCAUUGCUGCCGAGAAGCGAGGAUCCAACCUCGAAGUAGAGCUGUGGCUCAUCACGGCCUUCCACGACAAGGGCUCCCUCACGGAUUACCUCAAGGGGAACAUCAUCACAUGGAACGAACUGUGUCAUGUAGCAGAGACAAUGUCACGAGGCCUCUCAUACCUGCAUGAGGACGUGCCCUGGUGCCGUGGUGAGGGCCACAAGCCGUCUAUUGCCCACAGGGACUUUAAAAGUAAGAAUGUAUUGCUGAAGAGCGACCUCACAGCCGUGCUGGCUGACUUUGGCUUGGCUGUUCGAUUUGAGCCAGGGAAACCUCCAGGGGACACCCACGGACAGGUAGGCACGAGACGGUACAUGGCUCCUGAGGUGCUUGAGGGAGCCAUCAACUUCCAGAGAGAUGCCUUCCUGCGCAUUGACAUGUAUGCCAUGGGGUUGGUGCUGUGGGAGCUUGUGUCUCGCUGCAAGGCUGCAGACGGACCCGUGGAUGAGUACAUGCUGCCCUUUGAGGAAGAGAUUGGCCAGCACCCUUCGUUGGAGGAGCUGCAGGAGGUGGUGGUGCACAAGAAGAUGAGGCCCACCAUUAAAGAUCACUGGUUGAAACACCCGGGCCUGGCCCAGCUUUGUGUGACCAUCGAGGAGUGCUGGGACCAUGAUGCAGAGGCUCGCUUGUCCGCGGGCUGUGUGGAGGAGCGGGUGUCCCUGAUUCGGAGGUCGGUCAACGGCACUACCUCGGACUGUCUCGUUUCCCUGGUGACCUCUGUCACCAAUGUGGACCUGCCCCCUAAAGAGUCAAGCAUCUAAGCCCAGGACAUAAGUGUCUGUCCAGACUCAGCGGAUCUGAA